AUGCCCGGAGAUCUUAGCCAGUGGAUAAUGAAGCAUUACGACCCGGAGAUUUCGCAGAUAGUCAUUCCAGAAAGGGGGAAGAUUCCUGUAGAUGCCGCAAGUGUCCGUAGGAUAUGGGGUUUGCCCAACAGGGGCAGGAAGGUGUGCUUCGAGAAUCGGCCUGAAAUCACAAAGGCAAUGUACAAUAUUUACAACAUCACAUCCAAGAACUCCCCAACCCUCACAGAAUGGUGCAAGAUGAUCAUAGACAUGGGAGGAUCUUAUGAUGAUGACUUUGUCUGCGCUUGGCUAGCUCUUGUUUUUUCAUGCUUCCUUGCCCCUUCAACUAGUUUGAGUAUUUCCCCAAAGAGCUUCCCGGCGGUCAUGGAUGUCAAUGGAAUAACGUAA
Molecule: ribosomal RNA, 387 nt
Filed under: Triticum aestivum (bread wheat)
Lineage: Eukaryota; Viridiplantae; Streptophyta; Magnoliopsida; Poales; Poaceae
Description: partial small subunit ribosomal RNA
Source: RNAcentral